ACAAUCACUUUCACUUUUAUUGGUUAUCUUUAUCGAGUCACUGGGCCGAAUAUUGGUGAUCUGGGAAAAAAACGAAGGACGAAUUGUUAAUAAUGUUGAAGGUCUAUCACGAUUGUUUUCAGCUUAUUACUACUGUCAUCGAGCUUUCGGUCAAGUUGAAUGUCGAAUAUGAAUCCAAGGAAAAUCAUAUGAAAAGGCUUAGAUUGAGAGUCGAAAUGAUCUUCGACUCUCGAUCGAAUCGAAAAGCGGCAAAAUCUGAUCUCAUCUACUACAUGUUAACCAAAUACUGGGAUUGGGUCUCGAUAGCAGAUAAAUAUGAUGCCAAAAUCACUUUUACGACAAUUGGUCUGUUUUUAUUUCGGUUUCACGAUUGUUUGUUGAAAGUAAAGGUAAUUUCUUGGCGGUUGGAUUGGAUCUAAAUUCAAUUGAACAAAUUCAAGAUGAAUUAACAACACUCAUGAUUGAAUUACGACCUGCUAUGACCUCAUCUCUCUCUCUCUCUCUCUCUCUCUUGUCUAUGCAUUUGAUUUACACAAUAUGGUUCUUAUGUCAGCUUUAGAUUGUAAUGAUGGUAAUGUUUACAAGCGUCUAUUUGAUUUGGCAAAAAAGCUCAUCUCAAUCAAGUUGAUCCAAACCCAUCGUUCAUCAAAUACAUCAAAGACUCAAACUGAACCAAAUUAAAACUUUAUUUAUUAUUAAAAACUUUAACUUUUUUAAACAAUUAAUUUCCAUUAAAAACUCUCUUGUUUAUCCUUAAUUGCUAUUGACAAAACUUAAAGGAAAUCAUGAUAACAUGAAGAAAAACGGGAAAAUAAAAAGUCGUUAAUUGUAUAACAAUCAUUUUCUGAUUGAUUAAAUUAAAAAUUUGAGAAGAAAAUUUCAAUUCAGUUGACAA
Panonychus citri (citrus red mite) is the source of this 895-nucleotide long non-coding RNA. RefSeq lists it as uncharacterized. The record is from RefSeq and is a predicted model, not a curated record. The transcript is spliced from 2 exons. Lineage: Eukaryota; Metazoa; Arthropoda; Arachnida; Trombidiformes; Tetranychidae.